CCUACGGGUGGCAGCAGUGAGGAAUAUUGGUCAAUGGGCGCGAGCCUGAACCAGCCAAGUAGCGUGAAGGAUGACUGCCCUACGGGUUGUAAGCUUCUUUUAUAGAGGAAUAAAGUGCGGCACGUGUGCCUUUUUCUAUGGACUUUAUGAAUAAGGAUCGGCUAACGCCGUGCCAGCAGCCGCGGUAAUACGGAGGAUCCGAGCGUUAUCCGGAUGUAUUGGGUUUAAAGGGAGCGUAGAUGGGUUGUUAAGUCAGUUGUGAAAGUUUGCGGCUCAACCGUAAAAUUGCAAUUGAUACUGGCAGCCUGGAGUACAGUUGAGGUAGGCGGAAUUCGUGGUGUAGCGGUGAAAUGCUUAGAUAUCACGAAGAACUCCGAUUGCGAAGGCAGCCUACUAAACUGCAACUGACAUUGAUGCUCGAAAGUGUGGGUAUCAAACAGGAUUAGAUACCCCUGUAGUC
Molecule: ribosomal RNA, 460 nt
Filed under: uncultured bacterium
Lineage: Bacteria
Description: partial 16S ribosomal RNA
Rfam family: Bacterial small subunit ribosomal RNA
Source: RNAcentral